ACGGGAGGCAGCAGUAGGGAAUCUUCCGCAAUGGACGAAAGUCUGACGGAGCAACGCCGCGUGAGUGAUGAAGGCUUUCGGGUCGUAAAACUCUGUUGUUAGGGAAGAACAAGUGCUAGUUGAAUAAGCUGGCACCUUGACGGUACCUAACCAGAAAGCCACGGCUAACUACGUGCCAGCAGCCGCGGUAAUACGUAGGUGGCAAGCGUUAUCCGGAAUUAUUGGGCGUAAAGCGCGCGCAGGUGGUUUCUUAAGUCUGAUGUGAAAGCCCACGGCUCAACCGUGGAGGGUCAUUGGAAACUGGGAGACUUGAGUGCAGAAGAGGAAAGUGGAAUUCCAUGUGUAGCGGUGAAAUGCGUAGAGAUAUGGAGGAACACCAGUGGCGAAGGCGACUUUCUGGUCUGUAACUGACACUGAGGCGCGAAAGCGUGGGGAGCAAACAGGAUUAGAUACCCUGGUA
RNAcentral lists this ribosomal RNA (460 nucleotides) under uncultured Bacillus sp. RNAcentral describes it as "bacterial SSU rRNA". It matches the Rfam family "Bacterial small subunit ribosomal RNA", at positions 341 to 792 of the family's 1533-position model. The record is from RNAcentral. Lineage: Bacteria; Bacillati; Bacillota; Bacilli; Caryophanales; Bacillaceae.